UACAGAGGGUGCGAGCGUUAAUCGGAAUCACUGGGCUUAAAGCGUGUGUAGGCGGACCCGUCAGUGUCUUGUGAAAUCCCACGGCUCAACCGUGGAACGGCUGGGCAUACUGCGGGUCUUGAGACACCUAGGGGCGAGCGGAACAGGCGGUGGAGCGGUGAAAUGCGUAGAUAUCGCCUGGAACGCCGACGGUGAAAACAGCUCGCUGGGGGUGUUCUGACGCUGAGACACGAAAGCCAGGGGAGCGAACGGG
Molecule: ribosomal RNA, 253 nt
Filed under: uncultured bacterium
Lineage: Bacteria
Description: partial 16S ribosomal RNA
Rfam family: Bacterial small subunit ribosomal RNA
Source: RNAcentral